RNAcentral lists this unclassified non-coding RNA (534 nucleotides) under uncultured Pelagibacterales bacterium. Its description in RNAcentral is "partial 16S-23S ribosomal RNA intergenic spacer". The stretch from base 420 to 534 matches the Rfam family "Bacterial large subunit ribosomal RNA", at positions 1 to 116 of the family's 2925-position model. The record is from RNAcentral. Lineage: Bacteria; Pseudomonadati; Pseudomonadota; Alphaproteobacteria; Candidatus Pelagibacterales.
CCUCCUUUCUAAGGAUGAGUGAAAGUAAAAUUUCACUCUAAAUAAUAUACAUCGGUAAUGUUGACCGUCCUCAUUUCUCUUCUUAAAGUAAUGUUUCCUUCUUGUAGGGCCGGUAGCUCAGUUGGUUAGAGCACACCCUUGAUAAGGGUGGGGUCGAAAGUUCGAGUCUUUCUCGGCCCACCAAAAACCUAAAUGGGGGAUUAGCUCAUCUGGGAGAGCGCCUGAUUUGCAUUCAGGAGGUAGCAGGUUCGAUCCCUGUAUCCUCCAUCAGGAAACAUUUAGUUAUUAAAACUGUAAAUAAAAAUAAUUUAUAUCAAUAUCUAUAUCCGAACAUUAAAAGUUAUUAUUUAAUGUUCAAAAUAAAAAUUUGAUCACAAUGCAGAUUAAAUUUCUUUAAAAAGAAUUUUUUUCUGUGCAUAAAUCAAGCGUUUAAGGGCGUGUAGUGGAUGCCUGGGCACUGAAAGCCGAUGAAGGACGUGAUAUACUGCGAUAAGUUUCGGGGAGCUGUAUGUAAGCUUUGAUCCGAANAUUCCG